GGGGAUAUAGCUCAGAUGUUAGAGUGCUUGACUCGCAUGCAUAAGGCACUGGGUUCAAUCCCCAGCACCUUUA
RNAcentral lists this transfer RNA (73 nucleotides) under Ictidomys tridecemlineatus (thirteen-lined ground squirrel). RNAcentral's name for it is "Spermophilus tridecemlineatus (thirteen-lined ground squirrel) tRNA". It matches the Rfam family "tRNA". From Rfam's summary of the family: Transfer RNA (tRNA) molecules are approximately 80 nucleotides in length. Their secondary structure includes four short double-helical elements and three loops (D, anti-codon, and T loops). The record is from Rfam by way of RNAcentral. Lineage: Eukaryota; Metazoa; Chordata; Mammalia; Rodentia; Sciuridae.